RNAcentral lists this ribosomal RNA (801 nucleotides) under Brevibacterium epidermidis. Its description in RNAcentral is "bacterial SSU rRNA". It matches the Rfam family "Bacterial small subunit ribosomal RNA", at positions 81 to 895 of the family's 1533-position model. Lineage: Bacteria; Bacillati; Actinomycetota; Actinomycetes; Micrococcales; Brevibacteriaceae. The record is from RNAcentral.
CUGUUGGUGGAUGAGUGGCGAACGGGUGAGUAACACGUGAGUAACCUGCCCCUGAUUUCGGGAUAAGCCUGGGAAACUGGGUCUAAUACCGGAUACGACCUCCUGACGCAUGUUGGGUGGUGGAAAGUUUUUCGAUCGGGGAUGGGCUCGCGGCCUAUCAGCUUGUUGGUGGGGUAAUGGCCUACCAAGGCGACGACGGGUAGCCGGCCUGAGAGGGCGACCGGCCACACUGGGACUGAGACACGGCCCAGACUCCUACGGGAGGCAGCAGUGGGGAAUAUUGCACAAUGGGGGAAACCCUGAUGCAGCGACGCAGCGUGCGGGAUGACGGCCUUCGGGUUGUAAACCGCUUUCAGCAGGGAAGAAGCGAAAGUGACGGUACCUGCAGAAGAAGUACCGGCUAACUACGUGCCAGCAGCCGCGGUAAUACGUAGGGUACGAGCGUUGUCCGGAAUUAUUGGGCGUAAAGAGCUCGUAGGUGGUUGGUCACGUCUGCUGUGGAAACGCAACGCUUAACGUUGCGCGUGCAGUGGGUACGGGCUGACUAGAGUGCAGUAGGGGAGUCUGGAAUUCCUGGUGUAGCGGUGAAAUGCGCAGAUAUCAGGAGGAACACCGGUGGCGAAGGCGGGACUCUGGGCUGUAACUGACACUGAGGAGCGAAAGCAUGGGGAGCGAACAGGAUUAGAUACCCUGGUAGUCCAUGCCGUAAACGUUGGGCACUAGGUGUGGGGGACAUUCCACGUUCUCCGCGCCGUAGCUAACGCAUUAAGUGCCCCGCCUGGGGAGUACGGUCGCAAGGCU